GCACUUUCUGCGACGAGGCUGCGACCGUGUGAUCCGUCCUCUAGGAUACUGGACGUCUGCUCCGCAGACUUAAGCGCCGGCUAACUCUGUGCCAGCAGCCGCGGUAAUACAGAGGGUGCGAGCGUUAAUCGGAUUUACUGGGCGUAAAGCGUGCGUAGGCGGCUGAUUAAGUCGGAUGUGAAAUCCCUGAGCUUAACUUAGGAAUUGCAUUCGAUACUGGUCAGCUAGAGUAUGGGAGAGGAUGGUAGAAUUCCAGGUGUAGCGGUGAAAUGCGUAGAGAUCUGGAGGAAUACCGAUGGCGAAGGCAGCCAUCUGGCCUAACACUGACGCUGAGGUGCGAAAGCAUGGGGAGCAAACAGGAUUAGAUACCCUGGUAGUCCAUGCCGUAAACGAUGUCUACUAGCCGUUGGGGCCUUUGAGGCUUUAGUGGCGCAGCUAACGCGAUAAGUAGAACGCCUGGGGAGUACGGUCGCAAGACUAAAACUCAAAUGAAUUGACGGGGGCCCGCACAAGCGGUGGA
RNAcentral lists this ribosomal RNA (520 nucleotides) under uncultured bacterium. Its description in RNAcentral is "bacterial SSU rRNA". It matches the Rfam family "Bacterial small subunit ribosomal RNA", at positions 430 to 936 of the family's 1533-position model. The record is from RNAcentral.